CACCUAUCUUUCCCUUGGCCUGUGGGAGAAUCGUCGCGGCAGAAAGCAAAUUGCCCUCUCUUGCGCCAGCCUGGACACGUGGAUGCUAUGCGUGUGGGCGGUGCUGCUGGGCACGCUGGGUGCCGGUUCAGCUCAGCUGGUACUUCACAGUAUCCCAUUUCUUGAAAUAAAGUACUAUAAUGGACCUGAAAUCAUCCUCCCUUGUUUGGUAACUAAUCUGAAAGAGAAUAGCCGUUUGUCAAUGUUAGUGGAAUGGCAAUUUCAAGGAAAUAAAUUUUUCUUUUAUGAUGGAGUUACUGAUAGCGUUACCAAAAACAAUAGUUUUGAUACUGCAACUUUUCUCAACCGCUCGAUGGUACCCUACGGCAUUGCUUCACUUGUUAUAUCAACAAAGCAGGCUCUUCUCGGAAAUUAUACUUGUGCAGUAACAGAAUUAAAUAGAGAAGGAAGAACAACAUUUGAACUGAGAGAGAGUUCGGGUUCAGCCCAGCUGGUACUUGACAGUAUCCCAUUUCUUGAAAUAAAGCACUGUAAUGGAGGCGAAAUCAUCCUCCCUUGUGUGGUAACUAAUCUGAAAGAGCAUAGCAGUUUGUCAAUGUUUGUGAAAUGGCACUUUCAAGGAAAUCAAUUUUUUCUUUAUGAUGGAGUUACUGAUAACAUUACCAAAAACAAUAGUUUUGAUACUGCAACUUUUCUGAACCGCUCGAUGGUACCCUACGGCAUUGUUUCACUUGUUAUAUCAACAAAGCAGGCUCCUCUUGGAAAUUAUACUUGUGAAGUAACAGAAGUAAAUAGAGAAGGAAGAACAAAAUUUGAAUUGAGAGAGAGUUCAGCCUGCCCAUCAGAAUGCGUACCUUGGUUUCAGCCUGUGGAGCGGUUCUCUAUCAUUUCCAUCAUAAUAUUGAUUGUUAUUUUAUACUGGUGCCAGUUCAUUACUGUAGCUAUAAAGUUUGACAUGGAAUUUGAAAAGAAAAUUGGCUUAAGUUUUACAGGACUAUUAAUAACAAUUUUUGCUGUGACUGGUACCAUUCUUUUUGCCCACGGUGGAUAUAUAGCAUCGGUUAAAGCUGGUAUUGGCAUCAUUGUCAUCCCUGUAAUCAUUGUAGUGCCUCUUUUAUACUUCCUGUUCACAUCAGUUUUUGAGAAGCAACCACUUUUUGCAGUUAUUUUGCUAGCUCUGAAAGCACUUGGAUAUGUAAUUGCUGUGGCUGGAUUUGCUUUGUGCGUGACAGCAUGCCAGCCAAAACAUGGAUCUGUUCUGAUUGCAGGCUUAGCAAUUAUUGGUGCUGUAGGAGCAAUUGGCUUAAUUUACAUUAUUAUUAUUGUGAAGGGCAUAUCUCAUCAUAUAUGAUUGGUUUGUUUGCUACAAUCUUCCAAAGGUUUAUCAGGUUCCAACCUGAAAGAUCAUCACCCUCCAAGGCAUUGGAUGUGAGGUUGCCAAGCAUUCCAGAUGAGACUGCAAAUUCAUAAACUCAUAUUAUGAUUUAUGUGAUUUUGUAAAUACUAUGCAAGAGGAUUCGGGGAGCUGUGUUAUCUCUAGUCUUCAUGCACUUUAAAGUAAUACAUUCAUUCUACUACACAGGGCAUAAAAAGGCUUUUUCUGGCCCUCUGUCUCCCUCUCACUGAGAAUUCACCUACCAUAAAUUCAUUGCAAAAGCAACUGCUUUAUUUAAAUAAACAUUCUAAUUUUACCUAGUACAGUAAUCCUCGACUUACAACGAUUUGUUUAGUGACCAUUCAAAGUUACCAUGGUAUUGAAAAGAAUGACUUAAGACCAUUUUUCACACUUAUGACCGUUGCAGCAUCCCCAUGGUCAUGUGAUUUAUAUUCGGCUGCUUGACAACUGGUUCACAUUUAUGACGGGUGCAAUUUCCCAGGGUCACUUUGAUCACCAUUUGUAACCUUCUGACAAAGUCAAUGGGGAAGCCAGAUUCACUUAACAACCGUGUUAUUAACUUAACAACUGCAGUGAUUCACUUUAACAACUGAGGCAAGAAAAAUCAUAAAAUGGGGCAAAACUCAUUUAAUAAAUUUCUCAGCUCAAUUAUGGUUGUAAGUCAAACACUUCCUGUGUUUAAUUUUCAAUUACCUCCCUUAUGUAAACUCAGAUCACUAUGCUGAAUCUACUCCUAUUUGUUUUAAUGUUUAGUGGAAAUUUGCUCUAUUUCCUUAUAAGUUUUCAGAACAGACUAUUGCUACUUUUCUCCCUUAUCAAUAAAUUGUGUUUCAUACCAAAAGGGCAUAGUGUCUGUUUAUUUUAAUUUAGUUGGAUAUUUUUCCUAAUAUAUAUUCAACAUUCCUCCUUUCAUCAUUGUACUACAAAUGGAAGAAGAAAAAGAUGACAGGGUAUAAAAAACCUAAAUAGCUAAAACUAUUGUAUCUCCUACCAUUCCAUGUAUCUCCUACUUUAUCUGGAUUAACUAUUCAGUCUAGCAGUUAAAACAAAAACUUCAUGAAAGUUGGCAUAAAUAACAGUCCAUAUUUUGUAUUCAAUGCUAUUAAAAUACAUAGUAGUGUGAUGAUUAAUUCCUUGUUUAAAACUAAAAUAAUUCAGUACUAGUAUAAGAAAAUUGUAUAACAUUACCUGUUUGAAUUUAUUUCAAAUCAUGCAUAAAAAGUAAAUUCCUUGACAUUAUGGGCAUCAGGACAGAGGUCAUGAAAAUGAAUUAUUCCAAAUGUAAAGUAUGAUAUCCUGUUUGCCACACCAUGAGGAGAAUGCUAUUGUGUGUUUUAAGUCAUUGAAAGCUUUCUAAUGCCAUGUAUAUUAAUUUUUCAACUCAUGUUAUAAAACUUUCUUAUUUUUAAAACUUGGUUUUAAUUAUAUGUCCAGUGUGGAGUUUAUGAAAGGAAUAAAUUUAUUUGAUGUGA
Molecule: RNA transcript, 2868 nt
Organism: Crotalus tigris (Tiger rattlesnake)
Lineage: Eukaryota; Metazoa; Chordata; Lepidosauria; Squamata; Viperidae
Gene: CD47
Gene name: CD47 molecule
Exons: 13
Source: RefSeq, a predicted model, not a curated record